GAUGAACGCUGGCGGCGUGCCUAAUACAUGCAAGUCGAGCGAACAGAUGAGGAGCUUGCUCCUCUGACGUUAGCGGCGGACGGGUGAGUAACACGUGGAUAACCUACCUAUAAGACUGGGAUAACUUCGGGAAACCGGAGCUAAUACCGGAUAAUAUCUUGAACCGCAUGGUUCUAUAGUGAAAGACGGCUUUGCUGUCACUUAUAGAUGGAUCCGCGCCGCAUUAGCUAGUUGGUAAGGUAACGGCUUACCAAGGCAACGAUGCGUAGCCGACCUGAGAGGGGGAUCGGCCACACUGGAACUGAGACACGGUCCAGACUCCUACGGGAGGCAGCAGUAGGGAAUCUUCCGCGAUGGGCGAAAGCCUGACGGAGCAACGCCGCGUGAGUGAUGAAGGUCUUCGGAUCGUAAAACUCUGUUAUUAGGGAAGAACAAAUGUGUAAGUAACUAUGCACGUCUUGACGGUACCUAAUCAGAAAGCCACGGCUAACUACGUG
This 497-nucleotide ribosomal RNA is filed under the name uncultured bacterium. RNAcentral's name for it is "partial 16S ribosomal RNA". It matches the Rfam family "Bacterial small subunit ribosomal RNA", at positions 28 to 507 of the family's 1533-position model. The record is from RNAcentral.